CGGCGAGUGAAGCGGUAACAGCUCAAAUUUGAAAUCUGGCUCCUCUGGAGUCCGAGUUGUAAUUUGUAGAAGAUGCUUUGGGUUGUGGGUUCGGCCUAAGUUCCUUGGAACAGGACGUCAUAGAGGGUGAGAAUCCCGUAUGCGGCCGAGGCCCGCGCCUAUGUAAAGCUCUUUCAACGAGUCGAGUUGUUUGGGAAUGCAGCUCAAAAUGGGUGGUAAAUUUCAUCUAAAGCUAAAUAUGGGCCAGAGACCGAUAGCGCACAAGUAGAGUGAUCGAAAGAUGAAAAGCACUUUGGAAAGAGAGUUAAACAGUACGUGAAAUUGUUGAAAGGGAAGCGCUUGCACCCAGACUUGGGCGCUGCUGAUCACCUUGCGGUCUCCGCGAGUGCACUCGACAGCGCACAGGCCAGCAUCGGUUCGGGUGGCUGGAUAAAGGCCGUAGGAACGUAGCUCCCUUCGGGGAGUGUUAUAGCCUAGGGUGCCAUGCAGCCCAGCCGGACCGAGGACCGCGCCUUCGGGCUAGGAUGCUGGCGUAAUGGGUGUAAGCGACCCGUCUUGAAACACGGACCAAGGAGUCUAACAUCUAUGCGAGUGUUUGGGUGGUAAACCCAUACGCGGAAUGAAAGUGAACGUAGGUGAGAACCCCUUUGGGGCGCAUCAUCGACCGAUCCUGAUGUCUUCGGAUGGAUUUGAGUAAGAGCAUAGC
Molecule: ribosomal RNA, 706 nt
Filed under: Erysiphe palczewskii
Lineage: Eukaryota; Fungi; Ascomycota; Leotiomycetes; Helotiales; Erysiphaceae
Description: eukaryotic LSU rRNA
Rfam family: Eukaryotic large subunit ribosomal RNA
Source: RNAcentral